AGAGUUUGAUCCUGGCUCAGAUUGAACGCUGGCGGCAGGCUUAACACAUGCAAGUCGAGCGGAGAUGAGGUGCUUGCACCUUAUCUUAGCGGCGGACGGGUGAGUAAUGCUUAGGAAUCUGCCUAUUAGUGGGGGACAACAUUCCGAAAGGAAUGCUAAUACCGCAUACGUCCUACGGGAGAAAGCAGGGGAUCUUCGGACCUUGCGCUAAUAGAUGAGCCUAAGUCGGAUUAGCUAGUUGGUGUGGUAAAGGCUCACCAAGGCGACGAUCUGUAGCUGGUCUGAGAGGACGACCAGCCACACUGGAACUGAGACACGGUCCAGACUCCUACGGGAGGCAGCAGUGGGGAAUUUUGGACAAUGGGCGCAAGCCUGAUCCAGCAAUGCCGCGUGCAGGAUGAAGGCCUUCGGGUUGUAAACUGCUUUUGUACGGAACGAAACGGUUCUCUCUAAUAAAGAGGGCUAAUGACGGUACCGUAAGAAUAAGCACCGGCUAACUACGUGCCAGCAGCCGCGGUAA
This 520-nucleotide ribosomal RNA is filed under the name uncultured bacterium. RNAcentral describes it as "bacterial SSU rRNA". It matches the Rfam family "Bacterial small subunit ribosomal RNA", at positions 8 to 523 of the family's 1533-position model. The record is from RNAcentral.